RNAcentral lists this ribosomal RNA (1154 nucleotides) under human gut metagenome. Its description in RNAcentral is "bacterial SSU rRNA". It matches the Rfam family "Bacterial small subunit ribosomal RNA", at positions 8 to 1163 of the family's 1533-position model. The record is from RNAcentral.
AGAGUUUGAUCCUGGCUCAGGAUUAACGCUGGCGGCAUGCCUAAUACAUGCAAGUCGAACGAGAGUAGCAAUACUCUAGUGGCGAACGGGUGAGUAACACGUAGGAAACCUACCUCAAAGACGAGGAUAACUACUGGAAACGGUAGCUAAAACUGGAUAGGAUAUACAAAGGCAUCUUAGUAUAUUUAAAAGUCCUUCUGGGAAUGCUAUGAGAUGGUCCUGCGGCGCAUUAGCUAGUUGGUGAGGUAAAGGCCCACCAAGGCGACGAUGCGUAGCUGUGCUGAGAGGCAAAACAGCCACACUGGGACUGAGACACGGCCCAGACUCCUACGGGAGGCAGCAGUAGGGAAUUUUCGGCAAUGGGCGAAAGCCUGACCGAGCAAUGCCGCGUGAAUGAAGAAAUUCUUCGGAAUGUAAAAUUCUGUGGUGAGGGAAGAAAGGUAUUAGAAGGAAAUGGCUAAUAUUUGACGGUACCUUACUAGAAAGCCCCGGCUAACUAUGUGCCAGCAGCCGCGGUAAUACAUAGGGGGCAAGCGUUAUCCGGAAUUAUUGGGCGUAAAGCGUGCGUAGGCGGCCACUUAAGUCUGUCGUGAAAGCCCACAGCUUAACUGUGGAGGGUCGAUGGAAACUGAGAGGCUUGAAUCUAGGAGAGGUAAGUGGAAUUCCAUGUGUAGCGGUAAAAUGCUUAGAUAUAUGGAGGAACACCAGUGGCGAAGGCGGCUUACUGGUCUAGAAUUGACGCUGAUGCACGAAAGCGUGGGUAGCAAACAGGAUUAGAUACCCUGGUAGUCCACGCCGUAAACGAUGAGCACUAAGUGUCGGACGUAAGUUCGGUGCUGAAGUUAACGCAUUAAGUGCUCCGCCUGGGGAGUACGGUCGCAAGACUGAAACUCAAAGGAAUUGACGGGGACUCGCACAAGCGGUGGAGCAUGUGGUUUAAUUCGACGCAACGCGAAAAACCUUACCAGGCCUUGACAUACCGAUGACGUCUUUAGAGAUAGAGAGUUACCUUCGGGUACAUCGGAGACAGGUGGUGCAUGGUUGUCGUCAGCUCGUGUCGUGAGAUGUUGGGUUAAGUCCCGCAACGAGCGCAACCCUUAUCAUUAGUUGCUAACAGUCAGAUGAGCACUCUAAUGAGACUGCCAGCGAAAAGU